This 492-nucleotide ribosomal RNA is filed under the name uncultured bacterium. Its description in RNAcentral is "partial 16S ribosomal RNA". It matches the Rfam family "Bacterial small subunit ribosomal RNA", at positions 29 to 507 of the family's 1533-position model. The record is from RNAcentral.
AGUGAACGCUGGCGGUAGGCCUAACACAUGCAAGUCGAACGGCAGCACAGUAAGAGCUUGCUCUUACAGGUGGCGAGUGGCGGACGGGUGAGGAAUACAUCGGAAUCUACUUUUUCGUGGGGGAUAACGUAGGGAAACUUACGCUAAUACCGCAUACGACCUACGGGUGAAAGCAGGGGAUCUUCGGACCUUGCGCGAUUGAAUGAGCCGAUGUCGGAUUAGCUAGUUGGCGGGGUAAAGGCCCACCAAGGCGACGAUCCGUAGCUGGUCUGAGAGGAUGAUCAGCCACACUGGAACUGAGACACGGUCUAGACUCCUACGGGAGGCAGCAGUGGGGAAUAUUGGACAAUGGGCGCAAGCCUGAUCCAGCCAUACCGCGUGGGUGAAGAAGGCCUUCGGGUUGUAAAGCCCUUUUGUUGGGAAAGAAAAGCAGCAGGUUAAUACCCCGCUGUUCUGACGGUACCCAAAGAAUAAGCACCGGCUAACUUCGUG